UAUUAAUUCGUCAAAAGGGCGAAAGUGUUUUUUGUAAACAAACUUGUUUCGCUCAUUAGUCUGCUGCAGAGUGGAAUUUCAUGAAAAAUAUGCGUUAAUGUAAAUUUUUACCCUUCGUAGAAGUAAUUUCAAUUGUUUUCUGCUUUGAAAUUAUAGUAAAUUAAGAGAAACCAUCAAAAUAAAAGUUUGUUUACAAAUCUUAUUCGCCCUUUUGUAAAUUUAAUAUGGAGUUGACUAUAAAUAUUGCAUUAUUCAACAAUCUGUUUUCAACUAUAGUAUACCAAGAAGCGCAGUGCUAGUUCAGCAACACAGAAAUAUACCUCAGAAGAAUCAACUUUCACCGCUGACCAGUGCGGUCGAGAAAAUUUCCGGCGAAUCCAAUGCAGCAACAACGUCCACUUGCAGUACCGCAAUACAAAGCCACAAAGCGAUCCAACAGCGUGGGAAAUUUUAUCAUCGCAAAAUUUUAUAUCAGCACAACAGCUAUACCAAAAGCGAUACCACGUCGAUGGCCGAAAUGAUUUUUGGUUCUGCACCUAUAGUCUUCCAGGACAGCAGUUUGAAGUAGCCAACAGUAGCAGCAACAGCAGUAAAAAAGUAUCCACUUCCACCUACUUG
Topomyia yanbarensis is the source of this 618-nucleotide long non-coding RNA. RefSeq lists it as uncharacterized. NCBI's taxonomy places the organism in Eukaryota, Metazoa, Arthropoda, Insecta, Diptera, Culicidae. The record is from RefSeq and is a predicted model, not a curated record. The transcript has 3 exons.